Molecule: ribosomal RNA, 468 nt
Filed under: uncultured bacterium
Lineage: Bacteria
Description: partial 16S ribosomal RNA
Rfam family: Bacterial small subunit ribosomal RNA
Source: RNAcentral
GACGAACGCUGGCGGCGUGCUUAACACAUGCAAGUCGAACGGAAAGGCCCUGCCUUUGUGGGGUGCUCGAGUGGCGAACGGGUGAGUAACACGUGAGUAACCUGCCCUUGACUUUGGGAUAACUUCAGGAAACUGGGGCUAAUACCGGAUAGGAGCUCCUGCUGCAUGGUGGGGGUUGGAAAGUUUCGGCGGUUGGGGAUGGACUCGCGGCUUAUCAGCUUGUUGGUGGGGUAGUGGCUUACCAAGGCUUUGACGGGUAGCCGGCCUGAGAGGGUGACCGGCCACAUUGGGACUGAGAUACGACCCAGACUCCUCCGGGAGGCAGCAGUGGGGAAUAUUGCACAAUGGGCGGAAGCCUGAUGCAGCAACGCCGCGUGCGGGAUGACGGCCUUCGGGUUGUAAACCGCUUUCGCCUGUGACGAAGCGUGAGUGACGGUAAUGGGUAAAGAAGCACCGGCUAACUACGUG